RNAcentral lists this ribosomal RNA (252 nucleotides) under uncultured Bacteroidales bacterium. RNAcentral's name for it is "partial 16S ribosomal RNA". It matches the Rfam family "Bacterial small subunit ribosomal RNA", at positions 524 to 776 of the family's 1533-position model. The record is from RNAcentral. Lineage: Bacteria; Pseudomonadati; Bacteroidota; Bacteroidia; Bacteroidales.
UACGUAGGGGGCAAGCGUUAUCCGGAUUUACUGGGAGUAAAGGGAGCGCAGACGGCAGUGCAAGUCUGGAGUGAAAGCCCGGGGCUCAACCCCGGCCCGCCGUUGAAACUGGCAGUCUCGAGUUGGAGAGAAGUAUGCGGAAUGCGCGGUGUAGCGGUGAAAUGCAUAGAUAUCGCGCAGAACUCCGAUUGCGAAGGCAGCAUACCGGCGCCCGACUGACGCUGAGGCACGAAAGCGUGGGGAUCGAACAGG